AGACCAUGAUGCGGACACAACCUAAUCAGUCCCUGAUAUCUAUGCCAUGCAUCAUAUAAGCUCUCGCCAUCAAAUUGUGUGAACCUUGUAAUCUGAUCGCGGAUCUC
Molecule: small nucleolar RNA, 107 nt
Filed under: Leersia perrieri
Lineage: Eukaryota; Viridiplantae; Streptophyta; Magnoliopsida; Poales; Poaceae
Description: Plant small nucleolar RNA R71
Rfam family: Plant small nucleolar RNA R71
About the family: R71 is a member of the C/D box family of snoRNAs containing the C (UGAUGA) and D (CUGA) box motifs. Multiple nearly identical copies of this snoRNA have been identified in Arabidopsis, and it is thought to function as a 2'-O-ribose methylation guide for 18S ribosomal RNA.
Source: Rfam by way of RNAcentral